Pongo abelii (Sumatran orangutan) is the source of this 103-nucleotide small nuclear RNA. The record is from Ensembl. NCBI's taxonomy places the organism in Eukaryota, Metazoa, Chordata, Mammalia, Primates, Hominidae.
GUGCUUGGUUCACAGCACAUAUGCUAAAACUGGAACAAUACAGAGAUUAGCACAGCCCCAGCACAAAGAUGAUGUGCAAAUUCAUGAAGUGUUCCAUAUUAAA